Molecule: ribosomal RNA, 407 nt
Filed under: uncultured bacterium
Lineage: Bacteria
Description: bacterial SSU rRNA
Rfam family: Bacterial small subunit ribosomal RNA
Source: RNAcentral
GAUGAACGCUGGCGGCGUGCUUAACACAUGCAAGUCGAACGAAGAUGCCAUAGUAGAAGCAAUUAGCUUGCUAAGAGUGGACACAGUGGGAUCUUAGUGGCGGACGGGUGAGUAACGCGUGGGUAACCUGCCGUAUACAGGGGGAUAACACCUGGAAAUAGGUGCUAAUACCGCAUAAGCGCACGAUGUCGCAUGACAACGUGUGAAAAGCCGAGACGGUAUACGAUGGACCCGCGUCUGAUUAGCUGGUUGGUGAGGUAGAGGCUCACCAAGGCGACGAUCAGUAGCCGGCCUGGAGAGGGUGAACGGGCCACAUUGGGACUGAGACACGGGCCCAAACUCCUAAGGGAGCAAGCAGUGGGGAAUAUGCACAAGUGGGGAAACCCUGAUGCAGCGACGCCGCGUGA